This 764-nucleotide ribosomal RNA is filed under the name Crossonema civellae. RNAcentral's name for it is "partial large subunit ribosomal RNA". It matches the Rfam family "Eukaryotic large subunit ribosomal RNA", at positions 343 to 956 of the family's 3401-position model. The record is from RNAcentral. Lineage: Eukaryota; Metazoa; Nematoda; Chromadorea; Rhabditida; Criconematidae.
UACAAGUACCCGUGAGGGAAAGUUGAAAAGCACUUUGAAGAGAGAGUUAAAGAGGACGUGAAACCGGUAGGAUGGAAACGGAUAGAGCUAGCGAAGUCGUUCGUAUUCAGCCAAAGGCUCGUGGUCGCCUGCUGUCGAGUUGCUAAUCCCGCUCGGCGGUAGUCCGGCUGCGGGCUGAGGUGCAUUUGCGGGCGUAUGCGCUGAGACUUGUGGGGCAGCUGCUGGACCCGUGUUCUAGAGGCCUCCCUCUGGGAGGAACCUGGUCGCGGCGACGGUUGUUUGCCCUGCUCGUAUGGGUACGGCCAACGGACCUUGCCUGUGCCGUUGUUCCCUUGCGGUGGUAUCGCAUGCGAUGCCUAGCCUGGGGGCAGCGGUUCGGUCCGGUGUUCCCGUUUCCCGCUCUCGGUGUAGAAGCUGGUCAUCUCUCCGACCCGUCUUGAAACACGGACCAAGGAGUUUAGCGUAUGCGCGAGUCAUUGGGUGCGAAAACCCACAGGCGAAAUGAAAGUAAAGGCCCGGUCGCUGGGCUGACAUGCGAGUGCUGGGGCCUCGGCCCCGGCAUGCAGCAUGGUCCCGUUCCGGUCGCUUGCGACGGAGCGGAGACAGAGCGUAUGCGCUGAGACCCGAAAGAUGGUGAACUAUUCCUGAGCAGGACGAAGCCAGAGGAAACUCUGGUGGAAGUCCGAAGCGAUUCUGACGUGCAAAUCGAUCGUCUGACUUGGGUAUAGGGGCGAAAGACUAAUCGAACCAUCUAGUAGCUGUUU